CACGUAGGGCGCGAGCGUUGUCCGGAAUUAUUGGGCGUAAAGAGCUCGUAGGCGGCCUGUUGCGUCCGCUGUGAAAGCCCGGGGCUUAACCCCGGGUCGGCAGUGGAUACGGGCAGGCUAGAGGUAGGUAGGGGAGAAUGGAAUUCCCGGUGUAGCGGUGAAAUGCGCAGAUAUCGGGAAGAACACCCGUGGCGAAGGCGGCUCUCUGGAACGCAACUGACGCUGAGACGCGAAAGCGUGGGGAGCAAACAGG
Molecule: ribosomal RNA, 253 nt
Filed under: uncultured bacterium
Lineage: Bacteria
Description: partial 16S ribosomal RNA
Rfam family: Bacterial small subunit ribosomal RNA
Source: RNAcentral